This is a non-coding RNA of Schistosoma mattheei, 55 nucleotides long. The record is from Rfam. NCBI's taxonomy places the organism in Eukaryota, Metazoa, Platyhelminthes, Trematoda, Strigeidida, Schistosomatidae.
AUCUAGCUGACGAGUCUCAAAUAAGACGAAACGCUUAUUCUCGAUUCCACUACAU